GGAAAGGCACGCCAGAGAGGGUGAGAGCCCCGUGCGUGGCACCGCUGGUCUGGGACGCUACUGUCUUCGGAGAGUCGGGUUGUUUGGGAUUGCAGCCCAAAGUGGGUGGUAAACUCCAUCUAAAGCUAAAUACCGGCACGAGACCGAUAGCGAACAAGUACCGUGAGGGAAAGGUGAAAAGUACUUUGAAAAGAGAGUCAAAAAGACCGCGAAACCGUUAGGAGGGAAACGAAUGCAGCUGAAGUGGCUCUCCGUCAGGCUCAGGAGACGUCGGCGAGUCCUGCCCGGCAUCGGGAGCCGAGAGGCCCCGGUGCCCCGCGGGGGCUUCCCGUCUACUCUGCACUUCUGCGGAGAGCCGGCCAACAGCAGUUGCUCCCGGCUCAGGAGGGCGCGUCUGGGGAGGUAGCUCUGCGCUUGCGUGGAGAACGUAUAGCCCCGCGUCUGGGCAGUCCGGGGGCGACCGAGGAGAGUUGCGAAUCUUCGCACUGGCAGCGCAGGCCCCCCGGGGCUGGGCCGCUCCCACCGGCGGGGAGGCUGCGGUGGUUCACUGCGUGCAGUGUCCGCCGACUGUCCGAACUGCCGGCGAGAGGCCGGCCACACCUUGCGCUGCGGUUGUUGGUGCCCGAAUGGCUGCAUCCGACCCGUCUUGAAACACGGACCAAGGAGUGCAACAUGCGUGCGAGUCUUGGGGUGGCAAACCCGUCGGCGCAAUGAAAGUGAAGGCAGGCGUCGUGGUCUGCCGAGGCGAGAGCCUCCCCCGCGGAGGCCCAUCGUCGACCGAUCCCAAGCCACGCCGUGGCGGGAUUUGAGUGAGAGCGUGCCUGUUGCGACCCGAAAGAUGGUGAACUAUGCCUGAAUAGGGCGAAGCCAGGGGAAACUCUGGUGGAAGCUCGCAGCGAUUCUGACGUGCAAAUCGAUCGUCAAAUUUGGGUAUAGGGGCGAAAGACUAA
RNAcentral lists this ribosomal RNA (950 nucleotides) under Poecilosclerida sp. 12 JV-2020. RNAcentral's name for it is "partial large subunit ribosomal RNA". It matches the Rfam family "Eukaryotic large subunit ribosomal RNA", at positions 192 to 934 of the family's 3401-position model. Lineage: Eukaryota; Metazoa; Porifera; Demospongiae; Poecilosclerida. The record is from RNAcentral.